RNAcentral lists this ribosomal RNA (394 nucleotides) under uncultured bacterium. Its description in RNAcentral is "bacterial SSU rRNA". It matches the Rfam family "Bacterial small subunit ribosomal RNA", at positions 358 to 769 of the family's 1533-position model. The record is from RNAcentral.
GGAAUAUUGGACAAUGGGCGGGAGCCUGAUCCAGCCAUGCCGCGUGAGUGAUGACGGUCUUAGGAUUGUAAAGCUCUUUCAGUGGGGACGAUAAUGACGGUACCCACAGAAGAAGCCCCGGCUAACUUCGUGCCAGCAGCCGCGGUAAUACGAAGGGGGCUAGCGUUGUUCGGAAUUACUGGGCGUAAAGCGCACGUAGGCGGAUAUUUAAGUCAGGGGUGAAAUCCCGGGGCUCAACCCCGGAACUGCCUCUGAUACUGGCUAUCUAGAGUGUGGAAGAGGUCAGUGGAAUUGCGAGUGUAGAGGUGAAAUUCGUAGAUAUUCGCAGGAACACCAGUGGCGAAGGCGGCUGACUGGUCCACAACUGACGCUGAGGUGCGAAAGCGUGGGGAGC